AGCAGGAACACGAAGACAAGGAGACGCAGGCCAGCUGUGGUGUGGGUGUGGCUAGUGCCGGGGAACAGUCUCUGAGGUGCAGAAAGUUGGCUGUGACUCAGACAUCAUUCUGAGCUACCACUCCACACUCUGGACCCCACAGCAACCGCUGGUUGGUCCAUUGUGUUCAGGUAUUUCAACAGGAACCCUGGCAGCUCCUGAACGUCUAUGGAAAAGGCAGAACAAAGAUUGAGGAGAAUUGAGCACGCUCUAAGGAACGGCAAUGGGUAAAAUUCUCAGCAGGAAAGGCUGGGCCCUGGUCUUCUGUUGUACCUACUGACCCGCAGCAGUUCUUGGUGGCUCGGUGACUUCCUUCGGUCACAGAUGUCACACCAGCCAUGGAGGCAACUUUCUCCC
This 396-nucleotide long non-coding RNA is filed under the name Equus caballus (horse). RNAcentral describes it as "lncRNA (ENSECAG00000051615.1)". The record is from RNAcentral. Lineage: Eukaryota; Metazoa; Chordata; Mammalia; Perissodactyla; Equidae.